This 183-nucleotide ribosomal RNA is filed under the name Plasmodium sp. RNAcentral's name for it is "partial small subunit ribosomal RNA". Lineage: Eukaryota; Apicomplexa; Aconoidasida; Haemosporida; Plasmodiidae. The record is from RNAcentral.
AGCUAAUACUUGCUUUAAUGCUCCCGACGUGUUACGUCUUGUGAGCAUGUACUUGUUAAGCCUUUAUAAGAAAAAAGUUAAUAACUUAAGGAAUGAUAACAAAGAGGUGACACAUAAAAAGGACUCGUCCCAUUUUCUAGUGUGUAUCAAUCGAGUUUCUGACCUACCAGCUUUUGAUGUUAG